Molecule: long non-coding RNA, 1144 nt
Organism: Hippoglossus stenolepis (Pacific halibut)
Lineage: Eukaryota; Metazoa; Chordata; Actinopteri; Pleuronectiformes; Pleuronectidae
Exons: 3
Source: RefSeq, a predicted model, not a curated record
GGCCGCUGCUGAGCUGCCUCCCGUUCUAUUUCUGGAUUUAAAGGAGUGACAGUAUUCUCACUCGACUCAUAAGAAAAUCCCUUCAGUCCAACGUGUGGAGCCGACUGGGAUCAGGAUGCAGUCAUUACAUUAAAGUGAAGAUCACAUCCUGGGUGGAUGUGAAACGGAAAGAGAGAUAAAAGUCGUACGAGGACGACGACAACAACAACAACUUCACUGAGUUACUGCCCAUAACUGAAAGAUUACAGAUUCAAACUGUGACAAGACAUUAGUCAGAGAAACAACUGAAGGACUUUCCACUGAACUGGGACACGAGUCAGGGAAGAACUUUAACAUUCGAGCGGUUGGACCACGCUGUGUGUACGAGGGAGGAGAGAUUAUCGACUCCACCACAUCUGCUUGUGUUCCUGCUGCAGAAUACAAGCAGUGUCGUCGCAGGAGAGGAGCGAGGAGUCGUCAUGGCGGUGAACAACAACAACACAGCCGGUGCUGCCGGUGCUGCCAGGGCUGCCCCGGCUGAACCUGAGCGGCCAGGACACUGUGCCACUGUCACGCUGCGGGAACAAGGGGGAAACUGGGGCAUCUAUAUCUGCACCACCCUGUGAUUAUGAAAAGAUUACGCAACCGCACAGCAUGCUUUACAUAACCAGCCUUACAUAACAUCCCUGCACUCCUUCUGUUUACACCCUUUGUUCCCAAAUUGAAGCAUUUAAUUCCCCCCCCCGCCGCCCAUGACAUCUGCCUGGAACCCAAUCAACUGUGUGAUGUGGCUCCGACACUUCAUCUCGACCCCAUGCUGUGUUUUACAUCCUCAGAGUCACUGGGAGCUCACUUUAUUAUUAUUUAACUCACACUGUGACGCGGAUGUAAAUCUGAGCGUGAACGAGGUGGAUGGUGUUUUUACACAUGUAACUUAUUAUGGGAUGUGCCCCGAGUUAUUAGAAGUGACAGGAUAUUCACAGUAUAUAUAUUCAUAUAAGUGUUCCCUAUAAUUCUUGGCUUUAAUUGAUUGGAUUUGUAAAGUUUGACUUGCUUCAGUGGACUUUAUUAUCAAGGAGGAGAAGAGGAUCAGAAACUGAAACGGUUUAUUACAGGAUACCUUUCUGAUUUAUUCUUAUCUUUUAAGAUAAUAUUGAAACAAAUG